Long non-coding RNA from Artibeus jamaicensis (Jamaican fruit-eating bat), 3413 nucleotides. RefSeq lists it as uncharacterized. The transcript is spliced from 4 exons. NCBI's taxonomy places the organism in Eukaryota, Metazoa, Chordata, Mammalia, Chiroptera, Phyllostomidae. The record is from RefSeq and is a predicted model, not a curated record.
AGCACCUACUUUCAGCCGGAGGGCUAAGCUGAUAGGACAUAAGCUUGCAGCUGCUGGUGGACAACUUUAUAAGCAGAGAGGAAAACAACCCAACUGGCCUGAGAGUGAAGUUGACACAGGAAAGCAGAGCCAAAGGGCAUGCGGAGUCACCGACAAACAACGCCUGGGCGCCUGGAUGCAGUCAGACUGGGGCUGUGUGUGCUCACCUAGGGGCAUUUCGGAUUCCUGUGUCGGUUUCGGGAGCAGGAGCACCCAGCCCGUGCACCAUGUGAGGGAGAAUUUUUGGUCAGUCUGAGAGCAGGUCCCCACACCUGAGGGAGGUAAGUUUUCUCACAAUGAAAUGGACAUAAGAGGUCUUAUCUCACCGGCUGUCAGAGCGGUUAAAUGAGACAAUGAACUUAAAGCACUUUGCCCAGCAAGAAGAAAGGGGUGGAUGUACGUAGAAUCUUGUAAAGUCUUGACAACAAUGACGAUGACCAUCACUGUUAUUAUACUUUCAGUCUCAGCUCACGUCCACCUCCAGGAAGUCUUCCCUGACUGCCUGAGUCCCUCUCAGCUGAGUGAGUUCCUUUAGAACAGAAUCCGCUUUGGCGAACUUGCCCUGCACUGAGGCACUGUCACCUCCAUGGGUGUUGCUCAGAUUGGGGGCUGUCAGAAUCCCCAAGGGGGUGCAUCAUGACUUCAUGUUCCCAGCCCCACCUUCUCCUCUGAGGACCUCUGUCAGAGGCCUACUGUGAGGUCCAAAAAUCUGCGUUUUCACCAGGUCCCCUACCCUGAGGUCAUUCGGAUGCAAGCUGUCCGCAGGUGACACUUGCAGAAACUCCUACCCACCUCCCCCUUUUACAGGUGGGGAAACUGAGCUGGGGGCAGGCCAGUGGGCCCGGCAUCACACAGGGAUGCACUGGCAGGGCCGGUGGGAACCUGAAGUGGAGCCUCGUGGUCCUGGGCCAGUCCACCCUGGUGCACGGGGCCCCCUCUCUGUGGACCAGGCCAGACCAGUCCUUGGCAUGGGUUUCCACCGUCCGGUUCUCUGAUCACUGGCUGGCCUCCUGCCUCCCGAACAGGUGUCUCUUUGGGGCCCUGAACCCAGCAGGUGCUCAACAAAUACCCGCCACAGGAUGGGCACAGCUCUAGCAAGACCGAAAUAUUUAGCAUUUUCUUCAGCAAGGGGGUUUCUUCAGCGAAGGCACCAGCGCCGUGGAGUGAUGGACUCUCCACAGUGGUGCGAGGAGAGAGCCCUCAUCCCGCUGGGGACCCCAGAAUGUGGGUGUUUUUCUUGUUGCCUUUUCCUCUCUGAGGAGAGGGUUGUGAUGUUGAUCGGGCUGCUACAAACACACCAGGCUGUGAGCUGCAGCGGGCGGACCCUGCGUCUGCUCAUGGUGCUUUCACUCUCUCCCACCGGCAUGGGUGUAGUAGGUGCUCGGUGAGUGUUGAUGAGAUGGGAGAACGGAACCUCGGACCCUGCUCCUCACUCCAAGCAGCUCAUUUCUCACACUGCGGAUGGUCUGAGGGUAACAGAGUGUUUCCGCCAUUCCUCUCCCCCUCGGGGCUCCUCCUCCCCUACUUCCAACUGUGGGUCUGGGGGGUGUGAAGGCCCAAGAGGUGGUCCUGGUCCCUGUCUUGGACCCCCUUCUCCAGGGCAUCUGUGGGUGCGGUAAGAAGGUUUCUGCAGAAAUCACUCUGCACAGCUGGGCCUGCCUUCACCCCCGCUGCCCACACUUCCUCCAGCAGCGCCGUGGCGCCACGGCCCCGCUCCGCCAGGACUGGAUUUGAUUGAUUCUUUACUGGCCUGUGGACUUGAUGCCCGUGCUGAGUACAUGUGGAAGCUGAGCCAGGGACGAGGUGGGGGGAGAGGAGAGCCAAGGGGGUGCCUUGUGAGCCAGACCCCAACCCUUGCAAAACACAGGGCUUCCCCAGGCUGACCCAGCCAGCACAGCCUUUCCCGCCGCACCCACACGCUGCCGAUGACUCUGGUUUCUAGAACUGCCCUGCUAAUUUCCCAACAAUGUCCAAUGCAAGGGGAAUGUCCAAGGCUAGGCCUGGGGACAGGCCCGGGCCAAACGUCCUCCCGAAAAAAUGCGAUGCGAGCAUUGUUCAUCUGUUAUUGAUUGGGAGGCUGUGAGCUUCGCUUCCAAAAUCUCCAAUAAAACUGGCUUGGAGGAGAAUUUCCUGAUUCCCCGGGCCCUGCCUCAUGAAGCUGUUACCAGAGUCAGGAAUGCCUGGUGUGUACGUACACGUGCUUCGCAUGGCGCCUGGCACACAGAAAGUGCUCAGGAAGCAUAGUUUUUAUUACCAUUGUUCCUUGACAUCAGCAGCUGGGACUCUGCUGACUUCAUGCUCAGAUCAGAGGAGGGCUCAGAGAUCAGAAUGACCCAGACAGGCUCUGCCUGACCCAGAACGACGCCAACACUGGGCGGAUCCAAACUGAUGCUGCAAAGACUCCGAGAACUGGACUGGGAGAUGAACCACCGCCCACAGGAGCCACGCGGAACUGAGUCUAAACCCAGCCAGGUUGUCUGGCUGCUCAAGGAAAAACCCCAACAUUCUUUAAAGGCAAUAAUGGUCCAGAAUCUAUGCACCAUAACACUCGAAAUGCCCAGGUGCAUCCCAAAAGUCAACGUGCAAGGAGCCAUGAAAAUACGACAGCCCUGAAACUGGAAAAUUGGGGCCCGAUUUUCUCUGGAAAAUCGAGGGUGGAGAGCACGCUUCCGGGUGAAGACUGAACGCGUUAUCUUAUGAGCUGUGUCUUACAUCUUGCAUUUUCAUACUUUGAAGAAAAAGGGAUCAUAUCCCUAAAUAUAAAACAUAAUAAUAUGAAAGUUCUAGAAGAAAACAUAGGAAGAAAUCUUUGUGAUCUUGGGGUAGGCAAAGAUUUCUUGGAUCUAGCACCAAAAAUGCUAUCCAUAAAAGAAAUGGGUAAAUUGGACUACAUCAAAAUUAAGAAUGUAUGCUUUUUGAAAGACUCUGUUAAGAAAAUGAAAAGAUAAGACACAGACAGGCAGAAGCCAUUUGCAGAUCACGUAUCUGUUAAGGGACUUGCAUCUGGAACAUAUAAAGAACUUUCAAAAAUAAGAAGAAAGCAAACAGCCCAACAACAACCAAAGAAAAAGGCAAAAGAUGUGAAUAGACGCUUCACCGAAGCAGAUACAUAGAUGGCAAAUAAACACACAGAAGACAUUCAAAGUAAUUCACGACCUGAGCACAGAUGACUAAAACCACAAUGAGAUGCCAUUCGCACCUACUGGAAAGGCCAAAGUUAAAGACAUGCACCGUACCAAGUGCUGGGGAAGACUGACUGGCAUGCACUUCUGGGGGCGAAUGAAAAGCAGUAUGACCGCGCUGGGAUGUGGUUUGGCAGUACUGUGCGACCCUGCCACUUCAUUCCUCUUCACCCAAAAGAAAAGGAAAUACAC